AACUACCCCUCUGGAGCGCGACAACCUCGGGAAACUGAGGCUAAUCGCGCGUACCGCUCUCAGGCUGGAACUGCCGAGAGCGCGAAAUGCUCCGGCGCCAGAGGAUGUGGCUGCGGCCGAUUAGGUAGACGGUGGGGUAACGGCCCACCGUGCCAGUAAUCGGUACGGGUUGUGAGAGCAAGAGCCCGGAGACGGUAUCUGAGACAAGAUACCGGGCCCUACGGGGCGCAGCAGGCGCGAAACCUUUACACUGCACGCCAGUGCGAUAAGGGGACUCCAAGUGCGAGGGCAUAACGUCCUCGCUUUUCGUGACCGUAAGGUGGUCACAGAAUAAAGGCUGGGCAAGACCGGUGCCAGCCGCCGCGGUAAUACCGGCAGCCUGAGUGAUGGCCGCUCUUAUUGGGCCUAAAGCGUCCGUAGCUGGCCGCGCAAGUCCAUCGGGAAAUCUGUCCGCUUAACGGACAGGCGUCCGGUGGAAACUGUGCGGCUUGGGACCGGAAGACCAGAGGGGUACGUCCGGGGUAGGAGUGAAAUCCUGUAAUCCUGGACGGACCACCGGUGGCGAAAGCGCCUCUGGAAGACGGAUCCGACGGUGAGGGACGAAAGCUCGGGUCACGAACCGGAUUAGAUACCCGGGUAGUCCGAGCUGUAAACGAUGUCUGCUAGGUGUGGCACAGGCUACGAGCCUGUGCUGUGCCGUAGGGAAGCCGUGAAGCAGACCGCCUGGGAAGUACGUCCGCAAGGAUGAAACUUAAAGGAAUUGGCGGGGGAGCAC
RNAcentral lists this ribosomal RNA (775 nucleotides) under uncultured archaeon. RNAcentral's name for it is "bacterial SSU rRNA". It matches the Rfam family "Archaeal small subunit ribosomal RNA", at positions 107 to 879 of the family's 1478-position model. The record is from RNAcentral.